UACAGAGGUCCCGAGCGUUGUUCGGAUUCACUGGGCGUAAAGGGUGCGUAGGUGGUGAGGUAAGUCGGAUGUGAAAUCUCCGGGCUCAACCCGGAAAUGGCAUUGGAAACUACCUUGCUGGAGGAUUUGAGGGGGGAUUGGAAUACUUGGUGUAGCAGUGAAAUGCGUAGAUAUCAGGAGGAACACCGAUGGCGAAGGCAGCUCGCUGGGACGGUACUGACGCUGAGACGCGAAAGCGUGGGGAGCAAACAGG
This 253-nucleotide ribosomal RNA is filed under the name uncultured bacterium. Its description in RNAcentral is "partial 16S ribosomal RNA". It matches the Rfam family "Bacterial small subunit ribosomal RNA", at positions 524 to 776 of the family's 1533-position model. The record is from RNAcentral.